GAUGAACGCUAGCGGGAGGCCUAACACAUGCGAGCCGAGCGGUAUUGUUUCUUCGGAAAUGAGAGAGCGGCGUACGGGUGCGGAACACGUGUGCAACCUGCCUUUAUCUGGGGGAUAGCCUUUCGAAAGGAAGAUUAAUACUCCAUAAUAUAUUGAACGGCAUCGUUUAAUAUUGAAAGCUCCGGCGGAUAGAGAUGGGCACGCGCAAGAUUAGCUAGUUGGUGAGGUAACGGCUCACCAAGGCGAUGAUCUUUAGGGGGCCUGAGAGGGUGAUCCCCCACACUGGUACUGAGACACGGACCAGACUCCUACGGGAGGCAGCAGUGAGGAAUAUUGGUCAAUGGGUGCAAGCCUGAACCAGCCAUCCCGCGUGAAGGACGACUGCCCUAUGGGUUGUAAACUUCUUUUGUAUAGGGAUAAACCUACCCUCGUGAGGGUAGCUGAAGGUACUAUACGAAUAAGCACCGGCUAACUCCGUGCCAGCAGCCGCGGUAAUACGGAGGGUGCAAGCGUUAUCCGGAUUUAUUGGGUUUAAAAGGGUCCGUACGCGGACUUAUAAGUCAGUGGUGAAAGCCUGUCGCUUUAACGAUAGAACUGCCAUUGAUACUGUAAGUCUUGAGUAUAUUUGAGGUAGCUGGAAUAAGUAGUGUAGCGGUGAAAUGCAUAGAUAUUACUUAGAACACCAAUUGCGAAGGCAGGUUAUCAAGAUAUAACUGACGCUGAGGGACGAAAGCGUGGGGAGCGAACAGGAUUAGAUACCCUGGUAGUCCACGCCGUAAACGAUGCUAACUCGUUUUUGGGCUUUAGGGUUCAGAGACCAAGCGAAAGUGAUAAGUUAGCCACCUGGGGAGUACGCUCGCAAGAGUGAAACUCAGAGGAAUUGACGGGGGCCCGCACAAGCGGUGGAUUAUGUGGUUUAAUUCGAUGAUACGCGAGGAACCUUACCAAGACUUAAAUGGGAAUUGACAGCUUUAGAAAUAGAGCUUUCUUCGGACAAUUUUCAAGGUGCUGCAUGGUUGUCGUCAGCUCGUGCCGUGAGGUGUUAGGUUAAGUCCUGCAACGAGCGCAACCCCUGUCACUAGUUGCCAUCAUUCAGUUGGGGACUCUAGUGAGACUGCCUACGCAAGUAGAGAGGAAGGUGGGGAUGACGUCAAAUCAUCACGGCCCUUACGUCUUGGGCCACACACGUAAUACAAUGGCCGGUACAGAGGGCAGCUACACAGCGAUGUGAUGCAAAUCUCGAAAGCCGGUCUCAGUUCGGAUUGGAGUCUGCAACUCGACUCUAUGAAGCUGGAAUCGCUAGUAAUCGCGCAUCAGCCAUGGCGCGGUGAAUACGUUCCCGGGCCU
Molecule: ribosomal RNA, 1347 nt
Filed under: uncultured bacterium
Lineage: Bacteria
Description: bacterial SSU rRNA
Rfam family: Bacterial small subunit ribosomal RNA
Source: RNAcentral